Molecule: ribosomal RNA, 553 nt
Filed under: Lachancea waltii
Lineage: Eukaryota; Fungi; Ascomycota; Saccharomycetes; Saccharomycetales; Saccharomycetaceae
Description: partial small subunit ribosomal RNA
Rfam family: Bacterial small subunit ribosomal RNA
Source: RNAcentral
CGAAAGAUUGACCCAGUUACUUAUUAGGAUGAUAUAUAAAAAUAUAAUAAAUAUAAUUUUUAUUAAAUAAAAUUAUAUAAAUUGAUUAAAAAUAAAGUCCAUAAAUAGUGAAAAUAAUGAUAUUAGCUACCAUAAUAAAUAAUGGAUAAAAUAUUAAUUUUAUUUUAAUAGUCCUAACCAAAAUUUGUGCCAGCAGCUGCGGUAAGACAAUGGGGGCUAGCGUUAAUCAUAAUGGCUUAAAGGGUCCGUAGAAUGAAAUAAUAAUUAGAGUUAAUAAAUUUAAUUAAAGAAUUAUAAUAGUAAGGAUGAAAUGAUAAUAAUCAUUAUAAGACUGGUAUGUGUGAAGGUAUUAAUUAAAUAUUAACUGACAUUGAGGGACGAAAGCUAGAGUAGCAAUACGGAUUCGAUACCCGAGUAGUUCUAGCUGUAAACUAUGAACACCAUUUAUAAUAAAAAAUAAAUAAAUGAAAAUGAAAGUGUUCCGCCUGAAGAGUACGUUCGCAAGAAUGAAACUCAAGACAAUAGACGGUUACAGACUUAAGCAGUGGAGCAU